RNAcentral lists this ribosomal RNA (482 nucleotides) under uncultured bacterium. RNAcentral's name for it is "partial 16S ribosomal RNA". It matches the Rfam family "Bacterial small subunit ribosomal RNA", at positions 30 to 507 of the family's 1533-position model. The record is from RNAcentral.
AUUGAACGCUGGCGGCAUGCUUUACACAUGCAAGUCGAACGGUAACAGCACUUCGGUGGCUGACGAGUGGCGAACGGGUGAGUAAUACAUCGGAACGUGCCUAGUAGUGGGGGCUAACUACUCGAAAGAGUAGCUAAUACCGCAUGAGAUCUAAGGAUGAAAGCAGGGGACCUUCGGGCCUUGCGCUACUAGAGCGGCUGAUGGCAGAUUAGGUAGUUGGUGGGAUAAAAGCUUACCAAGCCGACGAUCUGUAGCUGGUCUGAGAGGACGACCAGCCACACUGGGACUGAGGCACGGCCCAGACUCCUACGGGAGGCAGCAGUGGGGAAUUUUGGACAAUGGGCGCAAGCCUGAUCCAGCAAUGCCGCGUGCAGGAUGAAGGCCUUCGGGUUGUAAACUGCUUUUGUACGGAACGAAAAGCCCUCUUCUAAUACAGGAGGGUCAUGACGGUACCGUAAGAAUAAGCACCGGCUAACUACGUG